This 337-nucleotide unclassified non-coding RNA is filed under the name soil metagenome. RNAcentral's name for it is "partial contains 5.8S ribosomal RNA, internal transcribed spacer 2, and large subunit ribosomal RNA". The stretch from base 1 to 120 matches the Rfam family "5.8S ribosomal RNA", at positions 35 to 154 of the family's 154-position model. The record is from RNAcentral.
GAUGAAGAACGUAGCGAAAUGCGAUAAGUAAUGUGAAUUGCAGAAUUCAGUGAAUCAUCGAAUCUUUGAACGCACAUUGCGCCCGCCAGUAUUCUAGCGGGCAUGCCUGUUCGAGCGUCAUUUCAACCAUCAAGCCCCCGGGCUUGUGUUGGGGACCUGCGGCUGCCGCAGGCCCUGAAAAGCAGUGGCGGGCUCGCUGUCACACCGAGCGUAGUAGAUUUUAUCUCGCUCAGGGCGUGCUGCGGGUUCCGGCCGUUAAACCACCUUCAUAACCCAAGGUUGACCUCGGAUCAGGUAGGAAGACCCGCUGAACUUAAGCAUAUCAAUAAGCGGAGGA